Molecule: long non-coding RNA, 863 nt
Organism: Ananas comosus (pineapple)
Lineage: Eukaryota; Viridiplantae; Streptophyta; Magnoliopsida; Poales; Bromeliaceae
Exons: 5
Source: RefSeq, a predicted model, not a curated record
CACGUACCAGGGCAUCCCUCCACAGCCUUCUUAUUCAUCUAAUUCCUCCUCUCUUUCUCUCUCAACCACAGAAGCAAGUUGGUGAAGGAGAGGUGGUAGAAUUGAGUUUUCUUGCUGUUGGAGCUAAGAAGAAACCCUGUGGAGAUGAAAGGAAGGUUUGUGGAGCUGAAGAAACCCUUGGGGAAACUUCAAAUCCAGUGUUGGCAGAUUUCUGAUGUAUUGGGCUUGUUGGAGCUGCCGAAUUGGAGCUUCAGCUGAGGAAGCUUGGAAUUUGAGGAAAUUCCAGUAGGGGCUGAGAAAAGUGAGAAAGUGUGAAGUUGCUACCUUGAGGAGCUCCUUGGUGUUCCGAGCUGAGAAGGACCUGGAAGGGGAGCUUCGAAUGAGGAUUGAAGUCCCGGCGGGGAAUUAGUCGUGAACAAACCUAAUUGAGGGCAAAGCGAACAUGUUGGCGAAGUCGGUUCGGCAAUCCGUCGAGCCUACGCGAAGAUAUCGCCAAAAGGACAUUUUCGGCUACAAUUGUCGCGAUCGCGGAUCGCGAUUCUUGGGAGAGUGCGGGAAGUGGAUUUCUCGCGUUCCGGUACCAAGUAAAGGUUCGCACGUGAGCGGCGCUGCGGCGCGAGGACAGGGCGUAGCUCCGUAGAUAGCGCCCUACUACAGAGACCAGAGAUAGAAGUACCCUGAAGUGGUCGAGCUCAGAGAGUAUAAAUUGAAAGAAACAAACUUGUAGUAAAUUGUGUAAGUUGUAAUUUGUGUAAGGGCUUAUGUGAUAACUGAAAAGUAUUUGUAGUAUUGUAAAAUGUAAUAAAUCUCUGAGAUGAAUACUUGUAAUGGUAUAGUGGCAUUUAUGUUUUUGAUACUCGCAA